UGGGGACUCUACUAUGGGUUACA
Molecule: non-coding RNA, 23 nt
Filed under: Arabidopsis thaliana (thale cress)
Lineage: Eukaryota; Viridiplantae; Streptophyta; Magnoliopsida; Brassicales; Brassicaceae
Source: RNAcentral